This 45-nucleotide ribosomal RNA is filed under the name Glycine max (soybean). Its description in RNAcentral is "partial 26S ribosomal RNA". Lineage: Eukaryota; Viridiplantae; Streptophyta; Magnoliopsida; Fabales; Fabaceae. The record is from RNAcentral. RNAcentral also lists the same sequence under 1 other name.
GCUGCCACGAUCCACUGAGAUUCAGCCCUUGUCGCUUUGAUUCGU